CUCUUAUCAAGAGCGGUGGAGGGACAAGGCCUGAAGAAACCGCGGCAACCUUCAAACAAUGUUGUUUGAAAAAGGUGCUAAUUCCUGCAAAGCAUAUUGCUUUGAAAGAUGAGAG
Molecule: regulatory RNA element, 115 nt
Organism: Bacilli bacterium VT-13-104
Lineage: Bacteria; Bacillati; Bacillota; Bacilli
Rfam family: SAM riboswitch aptamer (S box leader)
About the family: The SAM riboswitch is found upstream of a number of genes which code for proteins involved in methionine or cysteine biosynthesis in Gram-positive bacteria. The SAM riboswitch acts at the level of transcription termination control.
Source: Rfam